This 269-nucleotide ribosomal RNA is filed under the name uncultured prokaryote. RNAcentral's name for it is "partial 16S ribosomal RNA". It matches the Rfam family "Bacterial small subunit ribosomal RNA", at positions 524 to 792 of the family's 1533-position model. The record is from RNAcentral.
UACGUAGGUGGCAAGCGUUAUCUGGAAUUAUUGGGCGUAAAGCGCGCGUAGGCGGUUUCUUAAGUCUGAUGUGAAAGCCCCCGGCUCAACCGGGGAGGGUCAUUGGAAACUGGGGGACUUGAGUGCAGAAGAGGAGAGUGGAAUUCCAUGUGUAGCGGUGAAAUGCGUAGAUAUAUGGAGGAACACCAGUGGCGAAGGCGACUCUCUGGUCUGUAACUGACGCUGAGGCUCGAAAGCGUGGGGAGCAAACAGGAUUAGAUACCCGGGUA